CCGACCUUAGCUCAGUUGGUAGAGCGGAGGACUGUAGUUGGAUAACAGACAUCCUUAGGUCGCUGGUUCGAAUCCGGCAGGUCGGA
Non-coding RNA from Cajanus cajan (pigeon pea), 86 nucleotides. The record is from Rfam. Lineage: Eukaryota; Viridiplantae; Streptophyta; Magnoliopsida; Fabales; Fabaceae.